UACAGAGGGUGCAAGCGUUAAUCGGAAUUAUUGGGCGUAAAGGGCAUGUAGGUGGCGAUUUAAGUCUGAUGUGAAAGCCCUGGGCUUAACCUGGGAAUUGCGUUGGAAACUGGAUAGCUAGAGUCGGACAGAGGGCCGUGGAAUUUCCGGUGUAGCAGUGAAAUGCGUAGAGAUCGGAAAGAACACCCGUGGCGAAGGCGGCGGCCUGGGACCAGACUGACACUGAGGUGCGAAAGCAUGGGGAGCAAACAGG
Molecule: ribosomal RNA, 253 nt
Filed under: uncultured bacterium
Lineage: Bacteria
Description: partial 16S ribosomal RNA
Rfam family: Bacterial small subunit ribosomal RNA
Source: RNAcentral